RNAcentral lists this ribosomal RNA (34 nucleotides) under Meretrix lyrata. RNAcentral's name for it is "partial 18S ribosomal RNA". Lineage: Eukaryota; Metazoa; Mollusca; Bivalvia; Venerida; Veneridae. The record is from RNAcentral.
GAACAGAACAGUAGUGUUGAGAUUCGGAACCUGC